UGAGAACGGGAUUGCCUAUGAAAGUUAUCUGAUUGACUCUGCAAAUUGAUAAGUAUGUUUCACAAAACCAGGUGUCUGAUCGUUGACUCUUUAUGCUUGGAUGCUUUGACCGGUGAGUAUACUGCAUCAAUCAAUCAUAUGGCUCGAAGUCCUGAUGGAACCCUCUUUGUGUUGCAUACUUGAAGGAUGUUGUGCAUAUAUACUAAUACCAUGGUGGUGAUGAUCUCCAAAACCACUUGGAGCUUUGCGUCUACAAUAGCAACAUCGAUAGAAGAUACGGGAGCAUGAAGGCAUGGUUUCCCCAACUACCAAUCUAUGCAAUUGAAGAAUACAACUCAGGUUUAAACAUUCUAGACAUAUAGGAGUAACGGUGAAGAUGGGUUGGGUCAGAAGCGAAGUAGCAGAUUUUAUGCACUAAUAUAUGCUUGGGUUGUUUUGACCCGUCAAACCCGUUUCAAAUACAUUUAUAUGAUUUUACUAACUGUUAAAUAUAGCUCUAAUGUUAGAUACUUUUGUUCAGGCACAUCAUAUAAUUGGACUGCCUAAAUCAUAUGAUUAGGCCGGUGGGUGUGGCAUGGCGCCACCCCGCCACAUCAUCGUCGACAGCGCCCGUGGGGCGCCACCAUCCACACCGCACGACUUAAAGGGGGGCGGCAUGGGUUGUUCGCCAGCACGUUAACGAGGUAGAAUUGAGCUGAUCGAGGGGUGUUUGGUCAAAAUGGGGCGCUAUAGUGUAAAGUGGGUAGUUAAACCACACCCUCCAUGUUAAAGGAAGGGGCUUUAAAGCCCCCUGUGUGACGUGGACAUGAUGUGGCACUGAGGUGGCGUGAUAAAGCCCCUACCACACCCUCCAGCCUUAGGCUACCAAAAAAACUGGAAAAAGAGAAUAGAUACAACACAUAAUUUGAUCUCAAAAGUUCCACACUACACUGUAAGUUUACAUUUAUCAACAUCUAAAUAACUAUAAGAAAAAUGAUUACUACCUCUAAAUAAGAUUUCAUAAAUAGGUGAAAAGGAAAAAAAAUCCAAAGUUCUGUUAACAAUUUCCAGUUGACCAUGAAGCUAAACACAAUUUUCCCUUCAGUUUUUUUUAAUAUUUUCUUUAACAAUGUUUUUUAGGCGUUUCACCCUUCUCAACCAAUGGGCACUAGCCAGGGAUGAAGACCAGCCGCUCCUCAUGCAUUAGGUCAAAGAAUGAGCAUGGUUUUUUUUCUUUUCAAAUAGAUAUUGUGACAUUUUUAAUGAGGCAAUAAAAGUUUAGCUUUGACGUAUUAUUCGUUUUCCUUUGGUAACUUUAAAGAGUUCCGCCUUUGUCUUUCAUACUGUCUAAUUUAUUUUAAUGCCAACAUUUAUAUCUUGAGUUUACUUGUAUAAUUUUAAGCUGUGAUCUUAAGGUCAUGGGUUCAAGCCGUGGGAAACAACCUCAUGCACAAGGUAUAGGGUAAGGUUGCGUACAUCAACUCGCAAAGCGAUCCUGCCCCUUCCUGGACGGCUGGACCCUAUGCAAUUGUGGAAGUUAAGUCAAGCACCGGGUACACCCUUUACAAUAACAAGGUGUAUUUUUUUCAAUUAUUAGUUUUGUUUGAUGCUUCACUAAUGAAUUGUUUGUCAAUAUCAUAUAAACGGACUCUUACUGAAUAAGAACUUGGUGGUUGAUUGUUUGUUGACCAUUAAAAUUGGAUAAAUGUGAAUUUUGGUAACCUAUUUCAUGUACAUAAGUAAGAAACUUUAAUUUUGCAUAACAAGGUACAUACUUUGGUGUCUAAUUCAAGUAAGUUAUCAUGACAUCCAACCUUUUAGAUGUGAGCUUUUGUACCUUGGCCUAAAACCCAAGGUAGAAUUCUUGAAGUUGAUGAAAUGAGUGAAUGAUAUAUAAAUGCAGGGAGCUUGAGCUUAAAGUUAUAGCUUCUAGGGUUUAUGUGGUAAUCAUGUUCGGAGGAGUGAAGAUAAUGAGCAUUUCUUUUCAGAUUUUUAUUUGUAGAAAAACUUGUCUUUGGCCAUUACUA
Helianthus annuus (common sunflower) is the source of this 2006-nucleotide long non-coding RNA. RefSeq lists it as uncharacterized. The record is from RefSeq and is a predicted model, not a curated record. The transcript is spliced from 4 exons. NCBI's taxonomy places the organism in Eukaryota, Viridiplantae, Streptophyta, Magnoliopsida, Asterales, Asteraceae.